Molecule: non-coding RNA, 317 nt
Organism: Cinara cedri
Lineage: Eukaryota; Metazoa; Arthropoda; Insecta; Hemiptera; Aphididae
Source: the annotation of a GenBank genome assembly
CACAUCAAACAGGAAAAAAAAUAUGGGUUCCAGAACAACACAAAACCAAGCCUCCAAUGAAAAAUUAUUUGGAUAAGUUUAAUCUCGGAACCUGGAAUGUGUGAUCCCUGUACAUGGCGGGCGCACUAACAGUUGUAGAAGCUAAUUUAGAAGGAUAUGGAAUUGCAAUAGCAGCAAUUCAAGAAGUUAGAUGGACAGGAGAAGGAAAUUUAAAAUCAAAGAAACAUACAAUCUUUUAUAGUGGUGGACAAAGAUAUGAGCGAGGAGUAGGAUUUAUUGUUAGCAAUGAAUACUUACCAUACAUAAAAAGAUUUGAG